This 83-nucleotide transfer RNA is filed under the name Mogibacterium sp. RNAcentral describes it as "tRNA-Leu". It matches the Rfam family "tRNA". From Rfam's summary of the family: Transfer RNA (tRNA) molecules are approximately 80 nucleotides in length. Their secondary structure includes four short double-helical elements and three loops (D, anti-codon, and T loops). RNAcentral also lists the same sequence under 1 other name. Lineage: Bacteria; Bacillati; Bacillota; Clostridia; Peptostreptococcales; Anaerovoracaceae. The record is from RNAcentral.
GCGGACGUGGUGGAACUGGCAGACACGCAAGAUUUAGGUUCUUGUGCUUAGGCGUGAAGGUUCGAGUCCUUUCGUCCGCACCA